This 1006-nucleotide long non-coding RNA is filed under the name Papio anubis (olive baboon). Its description in RNAcentral is "lncRNA (ENSPANG00000044620.1)". Lineage: Eukaryota; Metazoa; Chordata; Mammalia; Primates; Cercopithecidae. The record is from RNAcentral.
AGUAACCAUUGCUGUUUGCUUAUAAUUGUGAGAAAUUGUUCAUUUAUAGAAAGGUAUUUAAAUAGACUAUAAUACGUUCAGGUGAUAUUUUCCUAGCAAUAAUAUUUGUUAUUAUAAGUAUUGCACCAAUAUUUAUUUUAGAAGUAGAACUAUCUAUGUUAGGAAAAUAUUUCGUGAGAGCUCUUGGGCCUGGCUAGUGAUCCUGAGCAUGUGAUGGAAGAGGAAAAUGAAACAAAGAAGAGAUAGAUAAACUACUGUAUAUAAGUUUUGAACAGAAGCUUUAGAUAAGAGAGAGCAGAGAAAAACAAGGAGGCUAUAUCAUUUAUGAUUUAAGUAGAACAUAUCAAAUUGUAAGAUAGAUCAAGUACAGUUUAUAUAUGAUCUUACUUUGUAAAACAUUAAAAUGAUGUGUGUCUAUGUGUGCACUUGUGUAAUAUCUGUUUCAUAUAUAUGAGAAAGAUGAAAUGACUGGAAGUAAAAUACCAAAAUGUUGAAAAAAGUGGUUACUACUGGGUGAUAUGGUUUGACUGUGUCCCCACCCAAAUCUCAUCUUGAAUUAUAGCUCUUAUAAUUCCCAUGUGUUGUGGGAGGGACACAGUGGGAGAUAAUUGAAUCACAGGAGUGGUUUCCCCCAUACUGUUCUCAUGGUAGUGAAUAAGUCUCAAGCAAUCUGAUGGCUUUAUAAGGGGUUUCCCCUUUCUCUUGGUUCUCAUUCUCUCUCGUCUGCUGCCAUGUAAGAUGUACCUUUCACCUUCCUCCAUGAGUGUGAGGCUUCCCCAGCAAUGUGAAACUUUCCCAAGAGUUAUGCUGUACAACAUUUGAUCCAUGGAUUAGGAGCAUCAGUAUCACCAAGGACCUUAUAAAUACAGAAUCUCACUCCACCUCAAAUGUACUGAAUUUUAAUUUGAAUUUUUAUAAGAUCUUUAGGUAAGUUUUAUGCACAUUAAGAGUUUAAGGAACACUGCUUUAGAGUAUAAAACGAGAGGAAUGCUGGUUGCCACAGUGU